CAUUGAAACACCAGUUUCCAUAUGAUCUCCAAGGUUAAGCAACAUCAAGAUUGGUCAUUACCUAGCUGGGUGACCGCUUGGUAAUACCAGGUGCUGUAAG
Molecule: non-coding RNA, 100 nt
Organism: Acanthosepion pharaonis
Lineage: Eukaryota; Metazoa; Mollusca; Cephalopoda; Sepiida; Sepiidae
Source: the annotation of a GenBank genome assembly